RNAcentral lists this long non-coding RNA (225 nucleotides) under Elaeis guineensis (African oil palm). RNAcentral describes it as "long non-coding RNA (EGUI_LNC031417)". The record is from RNAcentral. Lineage: Eukaryota; Viridiplantae; Streptophyta; Magnoliopsida; Arecales; Arecaceae.
UACUCAGAACAACUGGGAAAAAAAUUUGGGGAUUAUAGCAGUAGCAAACCAACUUUCAUCCUCUGAAAACCUGAAACAUACAAGGUUCUAAAAACCUGAGAAUGGAAACCUGUAUCUGAAAAAUUGACAACCUGCCCUGGAAACCUGAAAACCUGUAACUGCUUUCCCCUUCGCUUCGUUUGGGCAUGGAUUCAAGCUUUCUCGGCUUGAUACAUCCCAACCCCC